Molecule: small RNA, 224 nt
Filed under: Arabidopsis thaliana (thale cress)
Lineage: Eukaryota; Viridiplantae; Streptophyta; Magnoliopsida; Brassicales; Brassicaceae
Description: ATSL203530
Source: RNAcentral
UCAACCUAUUUAACGACAUGACUCAAAUGACAAGUCAACAAAAACUUUGUCAUUUAUUUAGAAAGUCAACAAAAACUUUACGAUUUAUUUGUUUUCCGUGUAGUUCAAGAUUAAAUCGUCCCAAAUUUGAAAGUUCAUGAUUUUUUUGACAUUACAAGACAUAACAUUUUUUCCUUACUUUAAACUUGGUAAUUCCGGUCCUUCUGUGAAAGAUUCAAGUGUGA